Molecule: ribosomal RNA, 931 nt
Filed under: Vibrio campbellii
Lineage: Bacteria; Pseudomonadati; Pseudomonadota; Gammaproteobacteria; Vibrionales; Vibrionaceae
Description: bacterial SSU rRNA
Rfam family: Bacterial small subunit ribosomal RNA
Source: RNAcentral
GCGUCGAGCGGCGGACGGGUGAGUAAUGCCUAGGAAAUUGCCCUGAUGUGGGGGAUAACCAUUGGAAACGAUGGCUAAUACCGCAUAACGCCUACGGGCCAAAGAGGGGGACCUUCGGGCCUCUCGCGUCAGGAUAUGCCUAGGUGGGAUUAGCUAGUUGGUGAGGUAAGGGCUCACCAAGGCGACGAUCCCUAGCUGGUCUGAGAGGAUGAUCAGCCACACUGGAACUGAGACACGGUCCAGACUCCUACGGGAGGCAGCAGUGGGGAAUAUUGCACAAUGGGCGCAAGCCUGAUGCAGCCAUGCCGCGUGUGUGAAGAAGGCCUUCGGGUUGUAAAGCACUUUCAGUCGUGAGGAAGGUAGUGUAGUUAAUAGCUGCAUUAUUUGACGUUAGCGACAGAAGAAGCACCGGCUAACUCCGUGCCAGCAGCCGCGGUAAUACGGAGGGUGCGAGCGUUAAUCGGAAUUACUGGGCGUAAAGCGCAUGCAGGUGGUUUGUUAAGUCAGAUGUGAAAGCCCGGGGCUCAACCUCGGAAUUGCAUUUGAAACUGGCAGACUAGAGUACUGUAGAGGGGGGUAGAAUUUCAGGUGUAGCGGUGAAAUGCGUAGAGAUCUGAAGGAAUACCGGUGGCGAAGGCGGCCCCCUGGACAGAUACUGACACUCAGAUGCGAAAGCGUGGGGAGCAAACAGGAUUAGAUACCCUGGUAGUCCACGCCGUAAACGAUGUCUACUUGGAGGUUGUGGCCUUGAGCCGUGGCUUUCGGAGCUAACGCGUUAAGUAGACCGCCUGGGGAGUACGGUCGCAAGAUUAAAACUCAAAUGAAUUGACGGGGGCCCGCACAAGCGGUGGAGCAUGUGGUUUAAUUCGAUGCAACGCGAAGAACCUUACCUACUCUUGACAUCCAGAGAACUUUCCAGAGAUGGAUUGGU